CAGUAGCCACGGUAAUACGGAGGGGGCUAGCGUUGUUCGGAAUUGCUGGGCGUAAAGCGCACGUAGGCGGCUUGGUAAGUUAGAGGUGAAAGCCUGGAGCUCAACUCCAGAAUUGCCUUUAAGACUGCCGAGCUAGCAGGUGAGAGAGGUAAGUGGAAUUCCGAGUGUAGAGGUGAAAUUCGUAGAUAUUCGGAAGAACACCAGUGGCGAAGGCGGCUUACUGGCUCAUACUGGACGCUGAGGUGCGAAAGCGUGGGGAGCAAACAGGAUUAGAUACCCCCGUAGUCCCUGUCUCUUAUAC
RNAcentral lists this ribosomal RNA (301 nucleotides) under uncultured bacterium. Its description in RNAcentral is "partial 16S ribosomal RNA". It matches the Rfam family "Bacterial small subunit ribosomal RNA", at positions 509 to 807 of the family's 1533-position model. The record is from RNAcentral.